RNAcentral lists this ribosomal RNA (253 nucleotides) under uncultured bacterium. Its description in RNAcentral is "partial 16S ribosomal RNA". It matches the Rfam family "Bacterial small subunit ribosomal RNA", at positions 524 to 776 of the family's 1533-position model. The record is from RNAcentral.
UACGGAGGGUGCGAGCGUUGUCCGGAAUCACUGGGCGUAAAGGGCGCGUAGGCGGCGCGACAAGUCAAUGGUGAAAGCCCGAGGCUCAACUUCGGGUCGGCCACUGAUACUGUUGGGCUUGAGCACUGUAGAGGCAGGUGGAAUUCCGGGUGUAGCGGUGGAAUGCGUAGAGAUCCGGAAGAACACCGGUGGCGAAGGCAAUCUCCUGGACCUGCACUGACGCUCAUGCACGAAAGCGUGGGGAGCAAACAGG